UACGUAGGGGGCGAGCGUUGUCCGGAAUUAUUGGGCGUAAAGAGCGUGUAGGCGGUUCGGUAAGUCUGCCGUGAAAACCUGGGGCUCAACCCUGGGCGUGCGGUGGAUACUGCCGGGCUAGAGGGUGGUAGAGGCGAGUGGAAUUCCCGGUGUAGCGGUGAAAUGCGCAGACAUCGGGAGGAACACCAGUAGCGAAGGCGGCUCGCUGGGCCAUUCCUGACGCUGAGGCACGAAGGUCAGGGGAGCAAACGGG
Molecule: ribosomal RNA, 253 nt
Filed under: uncultured bacterium
Lineage: Bacteria
Description: partial 16S ribosomal RNA
Rfam family: Bacterial small subunit ribosomal RNA
Source: RNAcentral